GACGAACGCUGGCGGCGUGCCUAAUACAUGCAAGUAGAACGCACAGUUUAUACCGUAGCUUGCUACACCAUAGACUGUGAGUUGCGAACGGGUGAGUAACGCGUAGGUAACCUGCCUGGUAGCGGGGGAUAACUAUUGGAAACGAUAGCUAAUACCGCAUAAUAUUAAUUAUUGCAUGAUAAUUAAUUGAAAGGUGCAAUUGCACCACUACCAGAUGGACCUGCGUUGUAUUAGCUAGUAGGUGAGGUAACGGCUCACCUAGGCGACGAUACAUAGCCGACCUGAGAGGGUGAUCGGCCACACUGGGACUGAGACACGGCCCAGACUCCUACGGGAGGCAGCAGUAGGGAAUCUUCGGCAAUAGGCGCAAGCCUGACGGAGCAACGCCGCGUGAGUGAAGAAGGUCUUCGGAUCGUAAAGCUCUGUUGACGGGGACGAACGUGCGAAGGGUGAAUAAUCCUUUGUAAUGACGGUACCUGUCGAGGAAGCCACGGCUAACUACGUG
This 505-nucleotide ribosomal RNA is filed under the name uncultured bacterium. RNAcentral describes it as "partial 16S ribosomal RNA". It matches the Rfam family "Bacterial small subunit ribosomal RNA", at positions 28 to 507 of the family's 1533-position model. The record is from RNAcentral.